This 229-nucleotide long non-coding RNA is filed under the name Setaria italica (foxtail millet). RNAcentral describes it as "long non-coding RNA (SITA_LNC002311)". The record is from RNAcentral. Lineage: Eukaryota; Viridiplantae; Streptophyta; Magnoliopsida; Poales; Poaceae.
CUAUUACCCGAACUGGCCGAUUCGCUAUCAUCGUCGGAUAACUUAUUUUUCCUUCUAUUCAUUCUUUUGCAGGAACAGGACACUCCCAAUAAUAGCCUCUUCUCAUUUGCGGUUGUACUCUCCGAUGACGAAGAAGUCGCCGCUCGUCAAGUUACCCUGAGCUCCGUCCCCGACGAUGUUCGUGCCAAACUCGAGAGCAUACGAACCCUUCUCCAAGAAGACAUCGGCC